AGUUCGAUCCUGAAGUAAGAUUGAACGCUGGCGGGAUGCUUUACACAUGCAGUCGAACGGCAGCACGGACUUCGGUCUGGUGGCGAGUGGCGAACGGGUGAGUAAUGUAUCGAACGUGCCUAGUAGCGGGGGAUAACUACGCGAAAGCGUAGCUAAUACCGCAUACGCCCUUCGAGGAAAGCGGGGGACCUUCGGGCCUCGCACUAUUAGAGCGGCCGAUAUCGAGUUAGCUAGUUGGUGGGGUAACGGCUCGCAAGGCGACGUCGUAGCUGGUUUGAGAGGACGACCAGCACACUGGGACUGAGACACGGCCCAGACUCUGCGGGAGGCAGCAGUGGGGAAUUUUGGACAAUGGGGAAGCCUGAUCCAGCCAUCCGCGUGUGCGAUGAAGGCCUUCGGGUUGUAAAGCACUUUUGGCAGGAAAGAAACGGCACGGGAUAAGCCCGUGCAACUGACGGUACCUGCAGAAUAAGCACCGGCUAACUACGUGCCAGCAGCCGCGGUAAUACGUAGGGUGCAAGCGUUAAUCGGAAUUACUGGGCGUAAAGCGUGCGCAGGCAGCGGGUUCGGAAAGAAAGAUGUGGAAAUCCCAGAGCUUAACUUUGGAACUGCAUUUUUAACUACCGAGCUAGAGUGUGUCAGGGAGGUGGAAUUCCGUGUAGCAGUGAAAUUACGUAGAUAUGCGGAGGAACACCGAUAGCGAAGGCAGCCUCCUGGGAUACUGACGCUCAUGCACGAAAGCGUGGGAGCAAACUGGGAUUAGAUACCCUGGUAGUCCACGCCUAAACGAUGUCAACUAGCUGUUGGGGCCUUCGGGCCUUGGUAGCGCAACUAACGCGUGAAAGUUGACCGCCUGGGAAAUACGGUCGCAAGAUUAAAACUCAAAGGAACGAUUGACGGGGACCCGCACAAGCGGUGGAUGAUGUGGAUUAAUUCGAUGCAACGCGAAAAACCUUACCUACCCUUGACAUGUCUGGAAUUCCCGAAGAGAUUUGGGAGUGCUCGCAAGAGAACCGGAACUGGGUGCUGCAUGGCUGUCGUCAGCUCGUGUCGUGAGAUGUUGGGUUAAGUCCCGCAACGAGCUGUACUUGUCAUUAGUUGCUACGAAAGGGCACUCCUAAUGAGACUGCCGGUGACAAACCGGAGGAAGGGAGUGAGGAUGACGUCAAGUCCUCAUGGCCCUUAUGGGUGAGCUUCACACGUCAUACAAUGGUCGGGACAGAGGGUCGCCAACCCGCGAAGGAGCCAAUCCGAAACCGAUCUGGUCGGAUCGCAGUCUGCAACUCGACUGCGUGAAGUCGAGAUCCGCUAGUAAUCGCGGAUCAGCAUGUCGCGGUGAAUACGUUCCGGGUCUUGUACACCGCCCGUCACACCAUGGGGUGGGUUUUACCAGAAGUAGUUAGCCUAACCGUAAGGAGGGCGAUUACCACGGUAGGAUUCAUGACUGGGGUGAAGUCGUAACAAGGUAG
RNAcentral lists this ribosomal RNA (1469 nucleotides) under uncultured Bordetella sp. RNAcentral's name for it is "partial 16S-23S ribosomal RNA intergenic spacer". It matches the Rfam family "Bacterial small subunit ribosomal RNA". The record is from RNAcentral. Lineage: Bacteria; Pseudomonadati; Pseudomonadota; Betaproteobacteria; Burkholderiales; Alcaligenaceae.